AUUGAACGCUGGCGGCAGGCCUAAUACAUGCAAGUCGAGCGGAUGAAUGGUGAUCGCUCCUGGAUUCAGCGGCGGACGGGUGAGUGAUGCCUAGGAAUCUCCCUUGUAGUGGGGGAUAACGUUCGGAUACGGGCGCUAAUACCUCAUACGUCCUGAGGGUGAAAGUGGUGGAUCUUCGGUCCUCACGCUAUCAGCUGAGCCUAGGUCGGAGUAGCUCGUUGGUGGGGUAAUGCUGUACCAAGGCGACGAUCCGUAACUGGUCUGAGUGGAUGAUCAGUCACAGUGGGACUUAGACACGGUCCAUACUCCGACGGGAGGCAGCAGUGGGGAAUAUUGGACAAUGGGCGAAAGCCUGACCCAGCCAUGCCGCGUGUGUGAAGAAGGUCUUCGGAUUGUAAAGCCCUUUAAGUGGGGAGGAAGGGCAGUAAGUUAAAACCUAGAUGUUUUGACGUUACCAACAGAGUAAGCACCGGCUAACUUCGUG
RNAcentral lists this ribosomal RNA (484 nucleotides) under uncultured bacterium. RNAcentral's name for it is "partial 16S ribosomal RNA". It matches the Rfam family "Bacterial small subunit ribosomal RNA", at positions 30 to 507 of the family's 1533-position model. The record is from RNAcentral.